Molecule: transfer RNA, 74 nt
Filed under: Paracoccaceae bacterium
Lineage: Bacteria; Pseudomonadati; Pseudomonadota; Alphaproteobacteria; Rhodobacterales; Paracoccaceae
Also listed under: 2 other names
Description: Rhodobacteraceae bacterium tRNA-Gly
Rfam family: tRNA
About the family: Transfer RNA (tRNA) molecules are approximately 80 nucleotides in length.
Source: RNAcentral
GCGGGUAUAGCUCAAUGGUAGAGCACCUGCCUUCCAAGCAGGCUAUGUCGGUUCGAUUCCGUCUACCCGCUCCA